RNAcentral lists this long non-coding RNA (800 nucleotides) under Monodelphis domestica (gray short-tailed opossum). RNAcentral describes it as "lncRNA (ENSMODG00000044088.1)". Lineage: Eukaryota; Metazoa; Chordata; Mammalia; Didelphimorphia; Didelphidae. The record is from RNAcentral.
GAAUCUGAGAACUGUAACCCUUCUGAGGGAAAUCUGACUCACCAGCUAGUUUUAGUUUGAGCUAGGAGAACAUGUCCUUUGGCUUUCUGGAGGCUCCUGGUAUGGUGGAACCACUGGAAGGCAAAAGAUUUGGAUUUACAACACAGAGUCACCUAUCCAGUGUAGUAGAGACCUGGGGAGAGAGAGAACUUGCAAGAACUUGCUGGAGACCUAGAUGUCAAUCAAGAGAAGGUUCCAACGGAAUGUUCCCAGGAGGGGCAUUUGUGAGUUUUCUGGCCACGCUGAGAGAAGAAGCAGGAUCUAAAAGACUUUGGACUUUGUCUCUGGCUCUGAGCAGUUGUACUGACCAGAGGGAGGGGUCUGGACUUGGAGUCUCACUCCCGCUAGAGGUUAAAAAGCUGGCUGAAAGACCCUUGUGGGGCUGACUUGGUUUUUGGGUUUCUCUGGUUUUGGACAGUUGAAGUUGACAAGAAGGAAAGCCUUGGCUUUUGAGUUGGUGGUCUACAUGAGAGUUGAGCUGGCCAGGAGAAACUGAGAGACUUUGAACUUUGUUUCUCUCUGGGGUUGAAGCUGAGAAAGGAGACAAGCCAGGCUGAUUUUGUGAAGAAGAAAGAAGAUUUUGAAUUGCUGUUGUCCUCCAUCUCCCUAACUGUCUUAGAGUCACAGUUUGUGACUGGACUACUUCCUCAAACCUCCCUAAAAUUAUCCCCAUAGUUUAGGGAAAUCCUCAUCCCUCCUACCUCAGUUUCCCAUCCUUUUAUCACAAUAAACCCCUGACUUGAAAAGGAAAAGAAAAGAAU